Molecule: ribosomal RNA, 464 nt
Filed under: uncultured bacterium
Lineage: Bacteria
Description: partial 16S ribosomal RNA
Rfam family: Bacterial small subunit ribosomal RNA
Source: RNAcentral
GAUGAACGCUGGCGGCGUGCUUAACACAUGCAAGUCGAACGGAAAGGCUCCUGCUUGCAGGGGUACUCGAGUGGCGAACGGGUGAGUAACACGUGGGUGAUCUGCCCUGCACUUCGGGAUAAGCCUGGGAAACUGGGUCUAAUACCGGAUAGGACGAUGGUUUGGAUGCCAUUGUGGAAAGUUUUUCGGUGUGGGAUGAGCUCGCGGCCUAUCAGCUUGUUGGUGGGGUAAUGGCCUACCAAGGCGUCGACGGGUAGCCGGCCUGAGAGGGUGUACGGCCACCUUGGGACGGAGAUACGGCCCAAACCCCUACGGGGGGGAGCGGGGGGGAAUAUUGCAAAAUGGGGGCAAGCCUGAUGCAGCGACCCCGCGGGGGGGAUGACGGCCUUCGGGUUGUAAACCCCUUUCGCUAGGGACGAAGCGCAAGGGACGGUACCUGGGAAAGAAGCACCGGCUAACUACGG